GGUUAUGGGCCUAUUAAGGUAUAACAUCUUCUGAUGGAUGCUAGAUGAUUAAGUAUCUACUGAAGAAUACCAGGAAGGUAAUCCUAUUGAUGGGUGACGGUAAGGUUUACACCUACUGAUGGGUGCUAGAAAGAGUUUGGGUCAGGCUCGUGACGUUAAACAAGCACUACCUGGGAGGCAACCCAGUUGAUUGAUUUAUUUUUGUUUCUUGUUUUGAUUCUGUUCUAAAUGCAUUAUAGGGGUUUGAUUGUUGAAUGUUUAAGUGGGGAGAGAGACUAAGUGAAUUGAUUGAGUAAGACUGUGUGAAGUGAGUGGAAAAGAUAUGAAAAUCGAGAAAUUUAGAGUAGAAGUUGAGGGGAUUGGAUCAAGAACGCUAAGGGCAAGUUAGGAAGAGGGAUAGUGAGUACCGUGUAUCCUGCUCAGCGCAAGUCUGGCAUUGAGUGUUGGUAUUGCAUACUGUUUUUGGGUUUUAAAACUUUGGGCCCAGCGUGAGUUGGCCCAUUGCACACUUCACUUACCCUAGGUCUCGCCCUAACCUCUCCAUUCGACCCUCACUCAUUUUAGCCACUCUCAAGAACUUCCCAAAGCAUUCUCUCCACUUUUCCCUUCACCCCUCUUCACAAAAACCCUUCGUCCAAGUUUGGGGUUUUGUGAGAGCACAACUAUUUGGGGUUGAUUUUUCAACAUUCACAAAGCAUCUUGCGCACAUUUAAGAAUCUCCAC
RNAcentral lists this long non-coding RNA (723 nucleotides) under Vigna radiata. RNAcentral's name for it is "long non-coding RNA (VRAD_LNC006448)". Lineage: Eukaryota; Viridiplantae; Streptophyta; Magnoliopsida; Fabales; Fabaceae. The record is from RNAcentral.